Molecule: non-coding RNA, 99 nt
Filed under: Clostridium sp.
Lineage: Bacteria; Bacillati; Bacillota; Clostridia; Eubacteriales; Clostridiaceae
Also listed under: 1 other name
Description: SAM-I sequence
Rfam family: SAM riboswitch aptamer (S box leader)
About the family: The SAM riboswitch is found upstream of a number of genes which code for proteins involved in methionine or cysteine biosynthesis in Gram-positive bacteria.
Source: RNAcentral
CUCUUAUUCAGAGUGGUGGAGAGUGAAGGCUCAGUGAAACCACGGCAACCCCUUGAAAAAGGAAGGUGCCAAUCUCAGCGAGAAAUCGAUCAAUAAGAU